AGCAGCCGCGGUAAUUCCAGCUCCAAUAGCGUAUAUUAAAGUUGUUGCAGUUAAAAAGCUCGUAGUUGAAUUUCGGGGUUAGUAGGUUGGUCAUGCCUCUGGUAUGUACUGGUCUCACUGAUUCCUCCUUCCUGAUGAACCUUAAUGCCAUUAAUUUGGUGUUUUGGGGAAUUUGGACUGUUACUUUGAAAAAAUUAGAGUGUUUAAAGCAAGCUAACGCUUGAAUACAUUAGCAUGGAAUAAUGAAAUAGGACGUUCGAUCCUAUUUUGUUGGUUUCUAGGAUUGACGUAAUGAUUAAUAGGGAUAGUUGGGGGCAUUAGUAUUCAAUUGUCAGAGGUGAAAUUCUUGGAUUUAUUGAAGACUAACUACUGCGAAAGCAUUUGCCAAGGAUGUUUUCAUUAAUCAAGAACGAAAGUUAGGGGAUCGAAGACGAUCAGAUACCGUCGUAGUCUUAACCAUAAACUAUGCCGACUAGGGAUCGGAUGAUGUUAAUUUUUA
RNAcentral lists this ribosomal RNA (499 nucleotides) under uncultured Glomus. RNAcentral's name for it is "SSU rRNA". It matches the Rfam family "Eukaryotic small subunit ribosomal RNA", at positions 569 to 1072 of the family's 1831-position model. The record is from RNAcentral. Lineage: Eukaryota; Fungi; Glomeromycota; Glomeromycetes; Glomerales; Glomeraceae.